GUAUGUAGCUCAGUGGUAAACUGCUGGCCUAGUAUGCUUGAGGUUCUUGGUUUAAUCCCCAGCAUUACA
RNAcentral lists this transfer RNA (69 nucleotides) under Marmota monax (woodchuck). Its description in RNAcentral is "tRNA.Thr". The record is from RNAcentral. Lineage: Eukaryota; Metazoa; Chordata; Mammalia; Rodentia; Sciuridae.